UGCUUUGCCGUUUUGUCUAAUUGUAGUCUUAACCACAAUUACCAAUGUGUCUGCCGCUGAUACUUACAAGCCCUAUGUCUAUGCUUCUCCACCACCACCUCCCUAUCACUACUCAUCACCUCCUCCUCCCGUCAAGUCUCCUCCACCACCCUAUCACUACUCAUCACCUCCUCCUCCCGUGAAAUCUCCACCACCUCCAUACCACUACUCGUCGCUUCCUCCUCCUAAAAAGUCUCCGCCACCUCCAUACCAUUACACUUCUCCUCCUCCUCCUAAGAAGUCUCCACCGCCUCCAUACCAUUACUCGUCGCCGCCUCCUCCUAAGAAAUCCCCGCCACCUUCAUACCAUUACAGUUCUCCUCCUCCUCCUCCUAAGAAAUCUCCACCACCACCAUACCAUUAUAGUUCUCCUCCCCCUCCAGUGAAAUCUCCACCGCCUCCAUACCAUUACUCGUCACCACCUCCUCCUAAGAAGUCUCAUCCGCCACCAUAUCAUUACUCGUCUCCUCCCCCUCCAGUGAAAUCUCCACUGCCUCCAUAUCACUACUCAUCGCCUCCUCCUCCUCCUAAAAAGUCUCCACCGCCUCCAUACCAUUACUCUUCAACUCCUCCUCCCAAGAAAUCUCCUCCACCAUCAUACCACUACUCGUCGCCUCCUCCUCCAGUGAAAUCUCCCCCACUUCUAUACCAUUACUCUUCCCCUCCGCCUCCCAAGAAGUCCCCCCCACCACCAUACCACUACUCCUCACCUCCUCCUCCGGUAAAGUCUCCACCGCCUCCAUACCACUACUCGUCACCUCCAUCACCCAAGAAGUCCCCCCCACCACCAUACCACUACUCAUCGCCUCCUCCUCCGGUUAAGUCUCCCCCACCACCGUACCACUACUCAUCACCACCUCCUCCCAAGAGGUCUCCUCCGCCACCGUAUCACUACUCGUCACCACCUCCUCUCAAAAAGUCUCAUCCGCCACCAUACCAUUACACAUCACCUCCACCACCUAAGAAGUCACCACCUCCUCCAUACUACUAUACAUCACCCCCACCUCCAUCACACUAUUAAGCUCACAAAGAAUGACAUCUUUCAAACAAAGAGAGGCUUUCAACCGCUAUGUACUUCCGAAAUUUUGUGAGAAUACUAUGUGUUUGUGUGUAAUAAAGGGUCUAUAAACUUGGAUAUUCGAUGUCAUCAUUUUUUUCAAUUAUAAAGCAAUGUAAGAAAGGUGAAAUGGGAAGAGUAUACCUAUCAAAUAAAUUCAACCAUUAUCAUAAAUCCUUUUAAAAAUAAAAAUAGUGUAUCAUUGUAAGAAAUUAUAUUAGACGCGCAUCUCAUUAAAAUUGUGGAGCCCAAUUUAGAAAAGCGAUUUAUAAUUCAGGAUAUUUAGUUUCAAGAUGU
Molecule: long non-coding RNA, 1393 nt
Filed under: Linum usitatissimum (flax)
Lineage: Eukaryota; Viridiplantae; Streptophyta; Magnoliopsida; Malpighiales; Linaceae
Description: long non-coding RNA (LUSI_LNC003039)
Source: RNAcentral